UACGUAGGGGGCGAGCGUUGUCCGGAAUUAUUGGGCGUAAAGAGCGUGUAGGCGGUUCGAUAAGUUUGCUGUAAAAGUCGGGGGCUCAACCCCCGAAAGCCGGUGAAUACUGUCGGACUAGAGUACGGAAGAGGCGAGUGGAAUUCCUGGUGUAGCGGUGAAAUGCGCAGAUAUCAGGAGGAACACCAAUUGCGAAGGCAGCUCGCUGGGACGUUACUGACGCUGAGACGCGAAAGCGUGGGGAGCAAACAGG
RNAcentral lists this ribosomal RNA (253 nucleotides) under uncultured bacterium. Its description in RNAcentral is "partial 16S ribosomal RNA". It matches the Rfam family "Bacterial small subunit ribosomal RNA", at positions 524 to 776 of the family's 1533-position model. The record is from RNAcentral.